CUGAAGUCUGCCCCUGAGCCGGUCAAGGGCUUCAGCACCUGCUGGCCCUCCAAAGACCGUUGCGUGACACCUCGCUCUUGAACAGCGACAGGCUGGUCUCUCAAGGCCAGAAUCCUGGAGGAUUUGGGAUUAUAAUGCUGGGAUUGGAAUUCUCAUCAAGCAAGAACAGGGUCCUGGUACCCGACACCCGCACAGGGAACUGUUGGUGUGUUACACACGUCUACAUUCCCCUUCCUAACCCUCCCGUGGAUGAGAGGCUGUGGUCUCGUAGAUCAGAUGACUGAGAGGGUGUGCUGCCACCCCAUUGUCUCCCGUCCCUCAGCAAACCAGGGGGUGAGAAGGAUCGGGACAGACAGAAGGCGGAAACAGAAAUUGUAUUUAAUUCCAGGCAACACAAGCUACUCUGAUUAGUUUAAACAACGAAGGUCGUACUUCCAAGGAUCAGAUGGUUUGCCUAGUUGCUGCAUCUGGAGGAACGAGCUGGAGCAAAGAAUCCAGGCGACCCCGUUCCCAGCCUCGGAUGCUCUGCGUGGUUGGGGAGAUCGCUCUCCCGCAGGAUAAAGACUUGUUCCCCCAGACACGUCCCCAGAGGGCAGGCAGGUGGUCGACAUGCAUGGCGGACGGUAAAAGAAGUAAAAGUGAAUCCAGCAGAAGUCAAGGGGCAACACGAUGCUGCCACCCAUAAAAAAAACCCCAUACGUGCACAGCAUGCGCCCCAACCACCUCUGGUUUCCAGAAGAGGCCCACGAGGCGAAUGGAUGUAGAUCAGACCUAGGAGUGAGGGUUACUUGAAUAACAUGCAUCGUUGCACGUCUUCAUCAAUACACUCUUUCAAAACCUCAAACCUCCUUCUCCAUGGAAUCCAGCAGGCCAGUCAUUUCCUAACUUUUUCUGGGCAUUUCUAGAACUAAUUUCUAGACCUCACCACCAUUUAAACUUGAAUUUUUCAUGUGUUUUUUUUUUCAGCUGAUUUAUUCUCACUGUGUCGAUCAGUACAUGUGUAUUUAGCACCUGCUCCAGGCUGCACGAGGUGCUACAUGUGAUUGCUGGGAACCCAGAGGGUUGGAUGGGAAGGGAAGGGCUACACACGCAGAGCAAGAGCAGGGUCAAGCCCUCAGCCGAGUGCCAAGCCUCAAGCUGUGCAGCUGACUUCCUUCUGACAGAAAGAAUCCAAGGAAAGGGUUCCUGCUAAUCAGUGUUUUACUCUCAGGGCCAGUCCUGAGGUAGAGGAGAAGCCUUUCCACAAUUAAGCAGCUGAACGGUCACUGUCCAGAUGCUGCCAGUUUCAUUUUUAUUGGACGCUGCGUGAGCGUAAUUGUGAGUCCAAGACAAAGCAGAGACCGCAAAAGAGAAAUACGGUAAACGUUUAAUCUCGUUAAUAGGUUAGCAGGAAACACAUGCUCAAAUUAGAUUACAAUGUAGUUUUCUCUUCACAUUUAAAGUUGCACAAGGCCCAUUACGCAGUAUGAGCAACCAGAACCACUUCACACAAAGAUAUUUUGUACUUGAAAAAAAAGACUACAUUUUAGAAUGCAAACAGAAUAAAGUAAUUUCAUGUCCGAAUAUAGAGAAAUAAGUUUGUAAGCCAUUUAACUGGUUAUGAAGCGGUAUCCUUAAAAGCUGGCUUAAAGCCAUAUUUAUAAGCAUUUUUUUCUUUGAUUAAACGUUUUUCUUUAAUGCCUUUCGAGAAUGUCAGUGAGUGGCUAGCCAUAUUUCUGAGCCACAGAUGAAAGCCACUCCACAUAAAGAAGGAAAUCAAUUUGUGUCUCUCCAUGUGGCAGUAACUUUGGUGCAGGCUAGAAUAAAAUGUCCUUUCUUCCUCUCCUUGUGAGCGAGACCUUCAGGAGAGCCUCAGCCCCUGCCGUGUUUCACUGACGCAGGCAUGGACAUCAUAACUUCCCAUCAGUGCGUUUGCAAACCAUUCCUCUCCAUGUUUGAAAUGCACUCGUGCAGAAGCUGAGCAGGUCCCAGGGUCGCGCCCGGCUGCCCUGGAGGAAGGAGGGUAGAGGACGACGGAGGUAAAUCGUUAGAUUAAUCCAGCGAGAAGGACGUGGGACGUGGAGCAACAGAGCGCUCGAGUCUGGUUAAUUCCAAGAUGUCCUACUGACUCUUCGUGUUUCCUGGGUUCCCUGUAAUGUUGAAGUGUCCAUGUUUCCAAAAACCCAUGUCUUCAAACAGUGACUAUGGAAGGAACUUAAAGUGAACCGUGCAUUUGAACUUUCCAAAAGAGUCUCAGAGAGCAGAGGCGGGCCCUCGUCGAGGCGAGACAGGCAGAUCUGUGAAUUAACUGUUCAGAGAUUGAAGUGGGUACCGAGGAUCCCUGGACUUCCCCCAUUUCUUCCUCCUUAGUUGGCACAUCGUUCACCAAGCUGCUGGAGCCAGAAACCUGAACUCAUGCUCUGCCUCUCCUUCCCUCCCCCACAACGCCUGGGACCCCAUGUUUGCUGGCAGGCCCAUUUCCCAGCUCUCUCCAGGGGUCCUGCUGCAUCCACGGACACGGUUCUGAGUCCCAACCAGGGACAUGACUGAGCGUCCCUGACCGGGAGGCCAUCUCAAGACUUUAUCUCGGCCUGCUUCAAACUGCCUCCCCAUAUGCAGCCAGAGCCACCUCAGAGAACCAACACCUGCUCCCACGGCUGAGCGGUGAUCCCCCUUUCCCCCGCCUCCCGUCUCCUGAGACCCUCAGAGGUGAGCCCCUUUCCCCGCCUCCCGUCUCCUGAGACCCUCAGAGGUGAGCCCCUUUCCCUGCCUCCUGUCUCCUGAGACGCUCAGUGGUAUACAGGUUGUUAAACAUCUCUCCUGUUGGAAAGAUGACGGUGGAGUGGGAGAGCGGGAGAGAAAGAGAGAGACGGAGAGAUGGAGGGAGAGGGGAGUGACAGGCAGAGAGAUGGAGGGACUGCGAAAGAGACAGACACAGAGGGCAGGAGCCGAGAGGCUGUGACAUGUGGGAGUCAGAAAUGGAACGCAGUGAUGACAGGUGACAUUUCUUGAGCAACUGUUGUGCACCAAAUACUGCCAGGCACCCGCUUCCAUACUGCUCAAUUCUCUGCACAAUCCACUGAAACGCAUCUUGGAAGCGGUGUGGUUGAGGCUGAAUAAAGAGCGUUGACUCUGGGUCCACGUUCCGGCUGCUGUGAUCUGCACUGUGGGCUCACGGACACCCUGUGGAGACCUCACCUACUGAAUCAAGUACGGUUUGUCAAGGCCUAACCCAAAGGAACAGGUGCUGCCGAAGUUUGCACCCUUGUCAGAGUUCUUCUCCUUUAGAGAUGGAGUUGGACUCACAGUCGUCUCUGGAACGUGACGAGCAUCCGGCGGGAAGUGGCUGUGUGGGCUGAGAACUAACUACCCACACCCUGGGAGCCGGGUACGUCUCUCACGGCUGCUUCGGGAGGUGAUUGUUGGGGGUGCUUGACUUCACGAUCCCAUUUCCUACGUGACAACAAAACGAGGAUAUGUGGUGACCUGUGUGGUUCCUGGAGCUCCUGCAGAGUGGACGAGACGGGGCAGCCACCCACCGGAGAGCAAGGGAGGCUCACUCAGGAGUAGCUGAGGGAGGAAGGAUGUGGUAUCGAUUGGGCCAAUACGAAAGAGAGGGGAGGGAGUGGAGUGUAGGCCACUGGGAUUCUCCCCUUGUGACAGGGACACAUUGACCAGAUAGAGCAAUUACUCAAAAUAUUAUACUUUUUAAAAUAAAUGUUGAAGAAGAUGUUUCCUAAAGUUUGUUAGGUAAGCAUCUUCCAAUAGAUGCAUCCUUUAAAAUAUAUGAGGCAUAUUUCUAUAGUCGGCUUAACAUUCCUGGGUGCCCUGGAGGCCCCGUUCACAGGGGGUCUUUGAGGCUCUGCCAUUCAUCCGUAAACCGCAUACACUGUCUUAUACCCAUGUGAUUAAAGAUAGUUCCUAAAUAUGCUCACAACUUUCACCACAUAUUUCAAUUUCAAAGGCGUUACAACUUUUUCUGAGAGAGCUUUCAUUUUACGCCAAGUUACAGAUAAGAGGAUGUCACAGAGUUUCUGCAUAACCUUAAAUAAACCAUGGUCCUUUGAGAGAGCGUCCAGGAGGGGCACGAAGGGUGGGGUCCAUCUGAGAAGACGGA
RNAcentral lists this long non-coding RNA (4096 nucleotides) under Equus caballus (horse). RNAcentral describes it as "lncRNA (ENSECAG00000051799.1)". The record is from RNAcentral. Lineage: Eukaryota; Metazoa; Chordata; Mammalia; Perissodactyla; Equidae.